ACGAACGCUGGCGGCGUGCUUAACACAUGCAAGUCGAACGGUGAAGCGCCUUCCUUUUUGGUGGGUGUGGAUGAGUGGCGAACGGGUGAGUAACACGUGAGUAACCUGCCCCCUUCUUCUGGAUAACCGCAUGAAAGUGUGGCUAAUACGGGAUAUUCUGGGUCUGUCGCAUGAUGGGUCUGGGAAAGAUAUUGUUUCGGUGGGGGAUGGGCUCGCGGCCUAUCAGCUUGUUGGUGGGGUGAUGGCCUACCAAGGCGGUGACGGGUAGCCGGCCUGAGAGGGUGGACGGUCACACUGGGACUGAGACACGGCCCAGGCUCCUACGGGAGGCAGCAGUGGGGAAUAUUGCACAAUGGGCGCAAGCCUGAUGCAGCGACGCCGCGUGAGGGAUGGAGGCCUUCGGGUUGUGAACCUCUUUCGCCAGUGAAGCAGGCCUGCCUCGUUUGUGGGUGGGUUGACGGUAGCUGGAUAAGAAGCGCCGGCUAACUACGUG
RNAcentral lists this ribosomal RNA (493 nucleotides) under uncultured bacterium. RNAcentral's name for it is "partial 16S ribosomal RNA". It matches the Rfam family "Bacterial small subunit ribosomal RNA", at positions 29 to 507 of the family's 1533-position model. The record is from RNAcentral.